UUAUAACUAUGGAACACAAUUUAUUCUCAAAUAAGUUUAUUAAUAGCAACAGUCCAAUGGUCAUAAUUGUAUCAAUCAACUAACUUAUAUGAACAAUUUAAAAAGCAUAUAACAACUUCAAGUAUUUUGCAUUGUGUAAAAGAGCAUAAAACAAGCAAUUUUCAGAGCCCCUAAACAAACUUUUGAUUAAAUAUCAUUUUUUCUUACAUGGCUUAGCAUCACAGUUCAAAUUUCAGCUAAUAGCACAAAAAACAACUGCCCAUGAAGUCUAUUCACUCUAGUAGUACUCCAUGGGCAGUUGUAGUUUUAUAGUUUUCUUGUUGUAGAAAAGAGUUAAACAUGAAUAAAGUUAUGGAGUAAAAGAUUUGAUCUCACAUUUAGGCUCCCCCCCCCCCCU
This is a non-coding RNA of Biomphalaria pfeifferi, 397 nucleotides long. Lineage: Eukaryota; Metazoa; Mollusca; Gastropoda; Planorbidae. The record is from the annotation of a GenBank genome assembly.